CCGCGAUGAAUCCGUUCCCGGGCCUUGUACACACCGCCCGUCAAGCCAUGGAAGCUGAGAGCACCCGAAGUCCGUGACUCAACUCUGGCGUUAGCCGGAGGGAGAGCGGCCGAAGGUGAGCUCAGUGACUGGGGCUAAGUCGUAACAAGGUAGCCGUAGGGGAACCUGCGGCUGGAUCACCUCCUAA
RNAcentral lists this ribosomal RNA (187 nucleotides) under Salinibacter ruber. Its description in RNAcentral is "partial 16S ribosomal RNA". It matches the Rfam family "Bacterial small subunit ribosomal RNA", at positions 1357 to 1533 of the family's 1533-position model. Lineage: Bacteria; Pseudomonadati; Rhodothermota; Rhodothermia; Rhodothermales; Salinibacteraceae. The record is from RNAcentral.